AGUGAACGCUGGCGGUAGGCCUAACACAUGCAAGUCGAACGGCAGCACGGUAAGAGCUUGCUCUUACGGGUGGCGAGUGGCGGACGGGUGAGGAAUACAUCGGAAUCUACUUUUUAGUGGGGGCUAACGUAGGGAAACUUACGCUAAUACCGCAUACGACCUACGGGUGAAAGCAGGGGAUCUUCGGCCCUUGCGCGAUUGAAUGAGCCGAUGUCGGAUUAGCUAGUUGGCGGGGUAAAGGCCCACCAAGGCGACGAUCCGUAGCUGGUCUGAGAGGAUGAUCAGCCACACUGGAACUGAGACACGGUCCAGACUCCUACGGGAGGCAGCAGUGGGGAAUAUUGGACAAUGGGCGCAAGCCUGAUCCAGCCAUACCGCGUGGGUGAAGAAGGCCUUCGGGUUGUAAAGCCCUUUUGUUGGGAAAGAAAAGCAGCAGGUUAAUACCCCGCUGUUCUGACGGUACCCAAAGAAUAAGCACCGGCUAACUUCGUG
This 492-nucleotide ribosomal RNA is filed under the name uncultured bacterium. RNAcentral describes it as "partial 16S ribosomal RNA". It matches the Rfam family "Bacterial small subunit ribosomal RNA", at positions 29 to 507 of the family's 1533-position model. The record is from RNAcentral.